UACGUAGGGUGCAAGCGUUAAUCGGAAUUACUGGGCGUAAAGCGUGCGCAGGCGGUUAUGUAAGACAGGGGUGAAAUCCCCGGGCUUAACCUGGGAAUUGCAUUUGUGACUGCAUGGCUAGAGUGUGUCAGAGGGGGGUAGAAUUCCACGUGUAGCAGUGAAAUGCGUAGAUAUGUGGAGGAAUACCGAUGGCGAAGGCAGCCCCCUGGGAUAACACUGACGCUCAUGCACGAAAGCGUGGGGAGCAAACAGG
This 253-nucleotide ribosomal RNA is filed under the name uncultured bacterium. Its description in RNAcentral is "partial 16S ribosomal RNA". It matches the Rfam family "Bacterial small subunit ribosomal RNA", at positions 524 to 776 of the family's 1533-position model. The record is from RNAcentral.